AGCUUAUAUUUCCUUACUUAAAUACGCCUGAAAAACCAGGAAAAAUAAUAAAACAGCACAAAAUUGAA
Molecule: transfer RNA, 68 nt
Filed under: Ctenophora environmental sample
Lineage: Eukaryota; Metazoa; Ctenophora
Source: RNAcentral